GCUCAGUUAGUUUAGUGGUUAGAACACUAAAUAAUUUUUUUUAUGUUAGAAACGCAGGUUCAAUUCCUAUACUGGACC
This is a non-coding RNA of Glomus cerebriforme, 78 nucleotides long. Lineage: Eukaryota; Fungi; Glomeromycota; Glomeromycetes; Glomerales; Glomeraceae. The record is from the annotation of a GenBank genome assembly.